Molecule: transfer RNA, 61 nt
Filed under: Palpitomonas bilix
Lineage: Eukaryota
Rfam family: tRNA
About the family: Transfer RNA (tRNA) molecules are approximately 80 nucleotides in length. Their secondary structure includes four short double-helical elements and three loops (D, anti-codon, and T loops). Further hydrogen bonds mediate the characteristic L-shaped molecular structure. tRNAs have two regions of fundamental functional importance: the anti-codon, which is responsible for specific mRNA codon recognition, and the 3' end, to which the tRNAs corresponding amino acid is attached (by aminoacyl-tRNA synthetases). tRNAs cope with the degeneracy of the genetic code in two manners: having more than one tRNA (with a specific anti-codon) for a particular amino acid; and 'wobble' base-pairing, i.e. permitting non-standard base-pairing at the 3rd anti-codon position.
Source: RNAcentral
UCGUGGUCUAGUGGUAUGAUACGUCCCUGCCACGGACGAGACCCGGGUUCGAUUCCCGGCG